Molecule: non-coding RNA, 24 nt
Filed under: Arabidopsis thaliana (thale cress)
Lineage: Eukaryota; Viridiplantae; Streptophyta; Magnoliopsida; Brassicales; Brassicaceae
Source: RNAcentral
GAGAGGAGCACUAUGCGUGGGUGG